Molecule: ribosomal RNA, 468 nt
Filed under: uncultured bacterium
Lineage: Bacteria
Description: partial 16S ribosomal RNA
Rfam family: Bacterial small subunit ribosomal RNA
Source: RNAcentral
GACGAACGCUGGCGGCGUGCUUAAUACAUGCAAGUCGAACGGAAAGACCCUGCUUUUGUGCCGUGCUCGUUUGCCGAACGGGUGUGUAUAACGCGUGUAACAUGCACUUAUCUUUGUGGUAUCUCCACGGGACACGGGCUAAUACCGCAUAGGAUAUCUUGCACCAUGUGGUUGAUUGGAAAGAUUCGGCGGUUGGGGAUGGACUCGCGGCUUAUCGGCUUGAUUGGCGGGUAGUGGCUUACCAAGGCUUUGACGGGUAGCCGGCCUGGGAGGGUUACCGGCCACAAGGGGACUGAGAGACGGCCCAGACGCCUACGGGAGGCAGCGGGGGGGAGUAUUGCGCAAUGGGCGGGAGCCUGAUGCAGAAGCGUCGCGUGCGGGAUGACGUCCUACGGGGUGUAAACCGCUUUCGCCGGUGACGAAGCGGGAGUGACGGUAAUGGGUAAAGAAGCACCGGCUAACUACGUG